RNAcentral lists this ribosomal RNA (253 nucleotides) under uncultured bacterium. RNAcentral describes it as "partial 16S ribosomal RNA". It matches the Rfam family "Bacterial small subunit ribosomal RNA", at positions 524 to 776 of the family's 1533-position model. The record is from RNAcentral.
UACGUAGGGUGCAAGCGUUGUCCGGAAUUAUUGGGCGUAAAGAGCUCGUAGGCGGUUUGUCGCGUCUGCUGUGAAAACUCGGGGCUUAACUCCGGGCCUGCAGUGGGUACGGGCAGACUAGAGUGCGGUAGGGGAGACUGGAAUUCCUGGUGUAGCGGUGAAAUGCGCAGAUAUCAGGAGGAACACCCGUGGCGAAGGCGGCUCACUGGGCUGACCUUGACGCUGAGGAGCGAAAGCGUGGGGAGCGAACAGG